Molecule: unclassified non-coding RNA, 520 nt
Filed under: uncultured Glomus
Lineage: Eukaryota; Fungi; Glomeromycota; Glomeromycetes; Glomerales; Glomeraceae
Description: SSU rRNA
Rfam family: Eukaryotic small subunit ribosomal RNA
Source: RNAcentral
AGCAGCCGCGGUAAUUCCAGCUCCAAUAGCGUAUAUUAAAGUUGCUGCAGUUAAAAAGCUCGUAGUUGAAUUUCGGGACCAUCAUGUCGGUCGUGCCUCGGUACGUACUGGCAUUGUUGGUUUCUCCCUUCUGACGAACCAUGAUGUCAUUUAUUUGGUGUCGUGGGAAAUCAGGACUGUUACUUUGAAAAAAUUAGAGUGUUUAAAGCAGGCUCACGCUUGAAUACAUUAGCAUGGAAUAAUGAAAUAGGACGUUUGAUUCUAUUUUGUUGGUUUCUAGGAUCGACGUAAUAAUUAAUAGGGAUAGUUGGGGGCAUUAGUAUUCAAUUGUCCGAGGUGAAAUUCUUGGAUUUAUUGAAGACUAACUACUGCGAAAGCAUUUGCCAAGGAUGUUUUCAUUAAUCAAGAACGAAAGUUAGGGGAUCGAAGACGAUCAGAUACCGUCGUAGUCUUAACCAUAAACUAUGCCGACUAGGGAUCGGAUGAUGUUAAUUUUUUAAUGACUCAUUCGGCGCCUUAC